RNAcentral lists this ribosomal RNA (333 nucleotides) under uncultured soil bacterium. Its description in RNAcentral is "bacterial SSU rRNA". It matches the Rfam family "Bacterial small subunit ribosomal RNA", at positions 26 to 387 of the family's 1533-position model. The record is from RNAcentral.
AGAACGAACGCUGGCGGCAUGCCUAAUACAUGCAAGUCGAACGAAGGCUUCGGCCUUAGUGGCGCACGGGUGCGUAACGCGUGGGAAUCUGCCCCUUGGUUCGGAAUAACAGUUGGAAACGACUGCUAAUACCGGAUGAUGACGAAAGUCCAAAGAUUUAUCGCCAAGGGAUGAGCCCGCGUAGGAUUAGCUAGUUGGUGAGGUAAAGGCUCACCAAGGCAACGAUCCUUAGCUGGUCUGAGAGGAUGAUCAGCCACACUGGGACUGAGACACGGCCCAGACUCCUACGGGAGGCAGCAGUAGGGAAUAUUGGACAAUGGGCGAAAGCCUGAU